AAAAAGGCAAAUCCUGAGUUUUCGUGCCAACAUUUAACUGUCCGUCUUAUAUAAAUUUUUUUUAUGAUUAGUAUUUUUAUUGUUGUUAGAUGAUAAAACAUGAUUAAUACUUUAUGCGUGACUUAUCUUUUUAAUUUUUUUAUAAUUUUUUCAAAUAAGACGGACGGUCAAACAUUAAACACGGAAACCAGGGUUUGUCUUUUU
MicroRNA precursor from Oryza sativa Indica Group (long-grained rice), 204 nucleotides. It matches the Rfam family "MIR812 microRNA precursor family". Lineage: Eukaryota; Viridiplantae; Streptophyta; Magnoliopsida; Poales; Poaceae. The record is from Rfam.